UAUAUUUUAGUGUAUAUAGCAUUAAAGAUUUUGAUUCUUUAAGAUUUAAUUAAUUAUUAAAAAAUAUAA
This 69-nucleotide transfer RNA is filed under the name Hydropsyche fukienensis. RNAcentral describes it as "tRNA-Gln". The record is from RNAcentral. Lineage: Eukaryota; Metazoa; Arthropoda; Insecta; Trichoptera; Hydropsychidae.